UAAGCCUUAAGUUAUAUAAACUAAGAGCCUUCCAAGCUCCCCAAAAGAAAUUCUUAGGCUUAA
This 63-nucleotide transfer RNA is filed under the name Pseudoniphargus grandis. Its description in RNAcentral is "tRNA-Gly". Lineage: Eukaryota; Metazoa; Arthropoda; Malacostraca; Amphipoda; Allocrangonyctidae. The record is from RNAcentral.